RNAcentral lists this transfer RNA (27 nucleotides) under Silene oenotriae. RNAcentral's name for it is "partial tRNA-His". The record is from RNAcentral. Lineage: Eukaryota; Viridiplantae; Streptophyta; Magnoliopsida; Caryophyllales; Caryophyllaceae.
GCCUUGAUCCACUUGGCUACAUCCGCC